UAUACAUGCAGUCGAGCGAAUCUGAGGGAGCUUGCUCCCAAAGAUUAGCGGCGGACGGGUGAGUAACACGUGGGCAACCUGCCUGUAAGACUGGGAUAACUCCGGGAAACCGGGGCUAAUACCGGAUAAUAUCUAUUUAUACAUAUAAUUAGAUUGAAAGAUGGUUCUGCUAUCACUUACAGAUGGGCCCGCGGCGCAUUAGCUAGUUGGUGAGGUAACGGCUCACCAAGGCGACGAUGCGUAGCCGACCUGAGAGGGUGAUCGGCCACACUGGGACUGAGACACGGCCCAGACUCCUACGGGAGGCAGCAGUAGGGAAUCUUCCGCAAUGGACGAAAGUCUGACGGAGCAACGCCGCGUGAGUGAUGAAGGUUUUCGGAUCGUAAAACUCUGUUGUUAGGGAAGAACAAGUACCGGAGUAACUGCCGGUACCUUGACGGUACCUAACCAGAAAGCCACGGCUAACUACGUGCCAGCAGCCGCGGUAAUACGUAGGUGGCAAGCGUUGUCCGGAAUUAUUGGGCGUAAAGCGCGCGCAGGCGGUUCUUUAAGUCUGAUGUGAAAGCCCACGGCUCAACCGUGGAGGGUCAUUGGAAACUGGGGAACUUGAGUGCAGAAGAGGAAAGUGGAAUUCCAAGUGUAGCGGUGAAAUGCGUAGAGAUUUGGAGGAACACCAGUGGCGAAGGCGACUUUCUGGUCUGUAACUGACGC
Molecule: ribosomal RNA, 711 nt
Filed under: Bacillus sp. INBio2556V
Lineage: Bacteria; Bacillati; Bacillota; Bacilli; Caryophanales; Bacillaceae
Description: bacterial SSU rRNA
Rfam family: Bacterial small subunit ribosomal RNA
Source: RNAcentral